AUGGACUGCAGCCAACCAGGCUCCUCUCUCCAUGGGAUUUUCCAGUCAAGAAUACUGGAGUGGGUUGCCAUUUCCUACUUCAGGGGAUCUUCCUGACCCAGGGAUUAAGGCCAUGUCUCUGCUUCUCCUGCAUUGCAGGUAGAUUCUUUACCAUCUGAGCCACUGGGGAAACCCCUCUGCCUGUACUGUCAUUGAAAAACUGAAGAUGCCAAAUUUUCCAGGAGUCUGUGACACUGGAGGGACUAAUGAGAAGAGGAAAGAGAACAUUCCUGUCGGUGCUACUUCAUCAAGGACUCAAGAGUCAGUGUGCAGAAUGCUACAGAAAAGUGUUACCACAGCAGUGAGAAGUAUAAUGUGGUUAAUGGGUGCAGUUCUCAGUACGAGGGUAGAACUACACAGAGAACUGAGGCUGUAGUCAGAGAAAAGAGAUUCAAGAUGGAAGGUGUCUGGCUGCCUCAAUCAUCACAUGGGAAAAAGCAGGCCAUGACUACACUGAGCCAUUAUGUGAGUGGAAAAUGAAUGUUUAUUAUGUUAAGUCACUGAAAAUUUAGAGGUUUUCUUCUUUAGA
RNAcentral lists this long non-coding RNA (568 nucleotides) under Bos indicus x Bos taurus (hybrid cattle). RNAcentral describes it as "lncRNA (ENSBIXG00000003870.1)". Lineage: Eukaryota; Metazoa; Chordata; Mammalia; Artiodactyla; Bovidae. The record is from RNAcentral.